UCGCCUAUGAUGAAAAUUUUCACCAAAUAACCAUCUUUCGGGACUGAAUGGCUUUUUAAGCCUUGCUGUAAUUCUGCAAUUCUGAGGCAC
Molecule: non-coding RNA, 90 nt
Organism: Populus trichocarpa (black cottonwood)
Lineage: Eukaryota; Viridiplantae; Streptophyta; Magnoliopsida; Malpighiales; Salicaceae
Source: Rfam